GAAUCAAUCAGUGACUUAAUAAUCAUCCUUCUUGCAAGAGUUCCAAUAAGGACUUUGACCUUAGGCCAACAGAAAACUUCCUAUCCCUGAAAGGAGUGUUAUGUGGCUUGUGUGGACCCUGACAAAGGACACCUAUCCCAACAGUGCUGUCAGAUUUCCCUCUUCUGGAAUCUAACUCCAAAGCUACUUUGGAAGAAGCAACACACAAGGAAGCCAAGGAAGGGACAAAAAGUUAAAUCCCUCCUGCUCAGUCCUAUAGCCACAUGUUAGCCCUGCCAUGGGUGGUAGAGAUAGAGACAGGGGUUACGGGGAUAAGAAAUGUGAAAAGAUAAUUUAUCAAACUCCUUCUAGGCACACAAGUGCUUAGUACAAAACAUAGGAUUAAAAACAGACAAAUUGAUCCUGCUGUCAUAUACCUUUUAAAGAAAUACAGAAGUAUCCAAAGAACAAUACACUGAGGAAAAGUCAAGGGUAUUGUAAAUGUCCAUUGUGUUGAUAGAUUAAAGAGACGUACUUGGAACUAAGAAAGGCUACAAGAGGAAUAAAAAAGACCGGCUUAUAUGACACCAUUCCACCUCUUAAGCACAUGACAGACAUCACCAAUUAAUCACAGAAUUCUUUUCUCUGGAACCCAGCUAUGGUUCCAGAGUUUUUGCUCCUACAAUACACCAGGCAGCUACUACACGUCAGCCUGAUCCAGCUUGUGAGAUGAAUGAAGGUGUUUGCCUAAAUUCACUGGUUCAGGGGACCCCAAAACACUAAGAUGUCACCCAAAAGCACUGAGGAUGUUAGGAUAUUAUAUGGGUUAUAGGAAAGGGAAGGCUGAUAACACACAUUUAGAAAAGGGUAGAAUUUCUAUCGUGAACAAAUAGGAAGAAGAUACAGCUUUAGCUUCUCCAGCAGGAAUGGAGGAGACAUCGCAUAUCAAAGACCUCUGCAAAACCAGUCAGCUCUGUGAGGAUCAGGCUUUGUCUGAUGAUGCCCCGGAGCCCAGCACAGUGCCUGGCCCAAUAAGUUGGGUUUGCUUCAGCUGUGGCCGCUCUGCCCUUUGGAACACACAGCCCAGUCUGUCGGAAUGUGAAGUGAGGCAUGGUGCUCCGAGAACAGGAGUUCCGUUACUGAGCUUUACAGAAAUGAGAAGAGGCUGUGCAUGUGACAAUCCUGGUGUAUGCUAAAUAUUAAGGUAUCAAAUACACUUAUCAUUUGGAGUAACAGCCCAGAUAACAACCUUCAAGAGUAGAGCAAAUGGGACAGUGACGAAGAAGUGACAGAAGUCACUUCUGUGAUCCAUGGGACUUCUUACCAGGUGGCCGCAAAGAUACAUUCCAAUUCCAAGACUCGUUUCUCAAGAGCUUUGAAAACAAAUAAAGCAGCCAAUACUAUGCA
RNAcentral lists this long non-coding RNA (1386 nucleotides) under Vulpes vulpes (red fox). Its description in RNAcentral is "lncRNA (ENSVVUG00000030232.1)". The record is from RNAcentral. Lineage: Eukaryota; Metazoa; Chordata; Mammalia; Carnivora; Canidae.